This 466-nucleotide ribosomal RNA is filed under the name Flavobacterium sp. 01WB02.1-73. RNAcentral's name for it is "bacterial SSU rRNA". It matches the Rfam family "Bacterial small subunit ribosomal RNA", at positions 1 to 475 of the family's 1533-position model. The record is from RNAcentral. Lineage: Bacteria; Pseudomonadati; Bacteroidota; Flavobacteriia; Flavobacteriales; Flavobacteriaceae.
UGAGCUUGAUCCUGGCUCAGGAUGAACGCUAGCGGCAGGCUUAACACAUGCAAGUCGAGGGGUAUAAGUCUUCGGAUUUAGAGACCGGCGCACGGGUGCGUAACGCGUAUGCAAUCUACCUUUUACAGAGGGAUAGCCCAGAGAAAUUUGGAUUAAUACCUCAUAGCAUUGCAGAAUGGCAUCAUUCAGCAAUUAAAGUCACAACGGUAAAAGAUGAGCAUGCGUCCCAUUAGCUAGUUGGUAAGGUAACGGCUUACCAAGGCUACGAUGGGUAGGGGUCCUGAGAGGGAGAUCCCCCACACUGGUACUGAGACACGGACCAGACUCCUACGGGAGGCAGCAGUGAGGAAUAUUGGACAAUGGGCGCAAGCCUGAUCCAUGCCAUGCCGCGUGCAGGAUGACGGUCCUAUGGAUUGUAAACUGCUUUUAUACGAGAAGAAACACUGCUUCGUGAAGCAGCUGACGG